AUGAGUCGGGAUGGAGAAUCGGCAUGGUUGGAUCGGGAGGCGAGAGCAAGGAGAAGGACCACAACGACAAGGACAAUAAAGGAUCGGAAUGAUCUAAUACAGAAAGACGACGAAGAAGGAUCGGGUCGGAAGGAUCGGGCCGGAAGGAUCAGGCCGGAAGGAUCAGGCCGGAAAGAUUGGGACGAGACGACGAUGGUGAGAGGGAGUCCGGAAACGUGGACAAUGACGACGAAGAAGGAUCGGGUCGGAAGGAUCGGGCCGGAAGGAUCGGGCCGGAAGGAUCGGGUCGGAAGGAUCGGAACGAGACGACGAUGGUGAGAGGGAGUCCGGAAACGUGGACAAUGAUCUAAUAGAAAGACGACGAAGAAGGAUCGGGCCGGAAGGAUCGGGCCGGAAGGAUCAGGCCGGAAAGAUCGGGACGAGACGACGAUGGUGAGAGGGAGUCCGGAAACGUGGGCAAUGAUCUACAAUAAAGACGACGAAGAAGGAUCGGGUCGGAAGGAUCGGGUCGGAAGGAUCGGAACGAGACUACGAUGGUGAGAGGGAGUCCGGAAACGUGGACAAUGAUCUAAUAGAAAGACGACGAAGAAGGAUCGGGCCGGAAGGAUCGGGUCGGAAGGAUCGGAACGAGACGACGAUGGUGAGAGGGAGUCCGGAAACGUGGACAAUGAUCUACAAUAAAGACGACGAAGAAGGAUCGGGUCGGAAGGAUCGGGCCGGAAGGGUCGGGCCGGAAGGAUCAGGCCGGAAGGAUCGGGACGAGACGACGAUGGUGAGAGGGAGUCCGGAAACGUGGACAAUGAUCUACAAUAAAGACGACGAAGAAGGAUCGGGUCGGAAGGAUCGGGUCGGAAGGAUCGGAACGAGACUACGAUGGUGAGAGGGAGUCCGGAAACGUGGACAAUGAUCUACAAUAAAGACGACGAAGAAGGAUCGGGUCGGAAGGAUCGGGCCGGAAGGGUCGGGCCGGAAGGAUCAGGCCGGAAGGAUCGGGACGAGACGACGAUGGGCAGAGGGAGUCCGGAAACGUGGACAAUGAUCUACAAUAAAGACGACGAAGAAGGAUCGGGUCGGAAGGAUCGGGUCGGAAGGAUCGGAACGAGACUACGAUGGUGAGAGGGAGUCCGGAAACGUGGACAAUGAUCUGCGAUAAAAGCGACGACGACGAACAGGAUGGAUGGAUCGGAAUAGAUCAGAAUGGAUCGGGAUGGUUGGAUCGGGAGAAGGCGAUAACCACGGCAACGACGACGAUGACGAGGACAAUAAAGGACCGGAAUGAGAUCUACGAUAAAGACGACGACGAAGGAUGGAACGGAACGAAAUCAGGAUACAACACUCUAUAAUU
This is a long non-coding RNA of Caenorhabditis elegans, 1345 nucleotides long. Ensembl annotates it as ncRNA. Its record names the gene Y9D1A.1. The record is from Ensembl. NCBI's taxonomy places the organism in Eukaryota, Metazoa, Nematoda, Chromadorea, Rhabditida, Rhabditidae.